Acanthosepion pharaonis is the source of this 111-nucleotide non-coding RNA. Lineage: Eukaryota; Metazoa; Mollusca; Cephalopoda; Sepiida; Sepiidae. The record is from the annotation of a GenBank genome assembly.
UGGCCAUGUCAUAUUAGAACACCAGUUCUUAUAUGAUCACUGAAUUUAAGCAAUGUUGGGCCUGGUCAGUACCAAGAUGGUUGACAACUUGCGAAUACCAGGUGCUGUAAG